AUUGAACGCUGGCGGCAUGCCUUACACAUGCAAGUCGAACGGCAGCACGGGAGCAAUCCUGGUGGCGAGUGGCGAACGGGUGAGUAAUAUAUCGGAACGUGCCCAGUCGUGGGGGAUAACGCAGCGAAAGCUGUGCUAAUACCGCAUACGAGCUAAGGAUGAAAGCGGGGGAUCGCAAGACCUCGCGCGAUUGGAGCGGCCGAUAUCAGAUUAGCUCGUUGGUGGGGUAAAGGCCCACCAAGGCGACGAUCUGUAGCUGGUCUGAGAGGACGACCAGCCACACUGGAACUGAGACACGGUCCAGACUCCUACGGGAGGCAGCAGUGGGGAAUUUUGGACAAUGGGCGCAAGCCUGAUCCAGCAAUGCCGCGUGCAGGAUGAAGGCCUUCGGGUUGUAAACUGCUUUUGUACGGAACGAAACGGCCCUUUCUAAUACAGGGGGCUAAUGACGGUACCGUAAGAAUAAGCACCGGCUAACUACGUGCCAGCCGCCGCCGUAA
Molecule: ribosomal RNA, 500 nt
Filed under: uncultured bacterium
Lineage: Bacteria
Description: partial 16S ribosomal RNA
Rfam family: Bacterial small subunit ribosomal RNA
Source: RNAcentral